Long non-coding RNA from Alexandromys fortis (reed vole), 322 nucleotides. RefSeq lists it as uncharacterized. The record is from RefSeq and is a predicted model, not a curated record. NCBI's taxonomy places the organism in Eukaryota, Metazoa, Chordata, Mammalia, Rodentia, Cricetidae. The transcript has 4 exons.
ACUCUUAGCUUCCUGCUCCAGUUGCUUGCCAACACCACACCAGAUAUUGCUACUGACUUGAAGAUGGAAGGUGCUGUGGAACAAUCUUUACUAUUGUGAGGUGAGAGAAAGAAUUUGAGUUCUCUGCCAGGAAGUGGUGGCACACACCUUUAAUUCUAGCAGUCAGGAGGCAGAGACAGGGUCAAGAGCAUUUCUCCUGAUUGAAGCAAGGCACCAUCCAUCUUCCCCUGCUAGGGGCAUCUGUUUCUCGUGCCAGACUAAGUAUAUACUUUGUGACAUAGUCCUUCUCUGGUGUGCAAGAAGUUCAAUGCCAAUACCAAAA